This 26-nucleotide non-coding RNA is filed under the name Mus musculus (house mouse). The record is from RNAcentral. Lineage: Eukaryota; Metazoa; Chordata; Mammalia; Rodentia; Muridae.
AGAAAAAGGUGACCAUAGCAGCUUCC